GACGAACGCUGGCGGCGUGCUUAACACAUGCAAGUCGAACGGAAAGGCCCUGCUUUUGUGGGGUGCUCGAGUGGCGAACGGGUGAGUAACACGUGAGUAACCUGCCCUUGACUUUGGGAUAACUUCAGGAAACUGGGGCUAAUACCGGAUAGGAGCUCCUGCUGCAUGGUGGGGGUUGGAAAGUUUCGGCGGUUGGGGAUGGACUCGCGGCUUAUCCGCUUGUUGGUGGGGUAGUGGCUUACCAAGGCUUUGACGGGUAGCCGGCCUGGGAGGGUGACCGGCCACCUUGGGACUGCGAGACGGCCCAGACUCCUACGGGAGGCAGCAGUGGGAAAUAUUGCACAAUGGGCGGAAGCCUGAUGCAGCAACGCCGCGUGCGGGAUGACGGCCUUCGGGUUGUAAACCGCUUUCGCCUGUGACGAAGCGUGAGUGACGGUAAUGGGUAAAGAAGCACCGGCUAACUACGUG
This 468-nucleotide ribosomal RNA is filed under the name uncultured bacterium. RNAcentral's name for it is "partial 16S ribosomal RNA". It matches the Rfam family "Bacterial small subunit ribosomal RNA", at positions 28 to 507 of the family's 1533-position model. The record is from RNAcentral.